This 501-nucleotide ribosomal RNA is filed under the name uncultured bacterium. RNAcentral describes it as "partial 16S ribosomal RNA". It matches the Rfam family "Bacterial small subunit ribosomal RNA", at positions 30 to 523 of the family's 1533-position model. The record is from RNAcentral.
AUUGAACGCUGGCGGCAGGCUUAACACAUGCAAGUCGAGCGGAGCGAGGGUGCUUGCACCUUAGCUUAGCGGCGGACGGGUGAGUAAUGCUUAGGAAUCUGCCUAUUAGUGGGGGACAACAUUCCGAACGGACUGCUAAUACCGCAUACGCCCUACGGGGGAAAGCAGGGGAUCCUCGGACCUUGCUCUAAUAGCUGAGCCUAAGUCGGAUUAGCUAGUGGGUGGGGUAAAGGCCUACCAAGGCGACGAUCUGUAGCGGGUCUGAGAGGAUGAUCCGCCACACUGGGACUGAGACACGGCCCAGACUCCUACGGGAGGCAGCAGUGGGGAAUAUUGGACAAUGGGCGGAAGCCUGAUCCAGCCAUGCCGCGUGUGUGAAGAAGGCCUUUUGGUUGUAAAGCACUUUAAGCGAGGAGGAGGCUACUUAGAUUAAUACUCUGGGAUAGUGGACGUUACUCGCAGAAUAAGCACCGGCUAACUCUGUGCCAGCCGCCGCCGUAA